AUUAGCUAGUAGGUGGGGUAAAGGCUCACCUAGGCGACGAUCCCUAGCUGGUCUGAGAGGAUGACCAGCCACACUGGAACUGAGACACGGUCCAGACUCCUACGGGAGGCAGCAUG
RNAcentral lists this ribosomal RNA (116 nucleotides) under uncultured bacterium. RNAcentral's name for it is "partial 16S ribosomal RNA". It matches the Rfam family "Bacterial small subunit ribosomal RNA", at positions 240 to 353 of the family's 1533-position model. The record is from RNAcentral.